AUUGAACGCUGGCGGCAGGCCUAACACAUGCAAGUCGAGCGGAUGAGGGGAGCUUGCUCCUGGAUUCAGCGGCGGACGGGUGAGUAAUGCCUAGGAAUCUGCCUGGUAGUGGGGGAUAACGUCCGGAAUCGGGCGCUAAUACCGCAUACGUCCUGAGGGAGAAAGUGGGGGAUCUUCGGACCUCACGCUAUCAGAUGAGCCUAGGUCGGAUUAGCUAGUUGGUGGGGUAAAGGCCUACCAAGGCGACGAUCCGUAACUGGUCUGUGAGGAUGAUCAGUCAUAGUGGAACAGGGAAACGGACCAGCAUCCCACGGGUGGCAACAGGGGGGAAUAUUGGAAAAAGGGGAGAAGCCUGAACCAGCCGUGGCGGGGGGGGGAAAAAAGUCUUCGGAUUGUAAAGCACUUUAAGGUGGGGGGAAGGGAAGUAAAUUAAUACCUUGGUGUUUUGGCUUUACCAACAAAAUAAGCACCGGCUAACUUCGG
This 483-nucleotide ribosomal RNA is filed under the name uncultured bacterium. Its description in RNAcentral is "partial 16S ribosomal RNA". It matches the Rfam family "Bacterial small subunit ribosomal RNA", at positions 30 to 506 of the family's 1533-position model. The record is from RNAcentral.